UGGCGCAACUAUCGCACCUAGAACGAUUCUUUUUCCACAAAACCUAUUUAAAUCUUAGUCGAAUCCAAUCGCCGGUGAAAAAAAAUCAAAAUGGCGGAAAAACAAGAUGGCCGCCAUACAAAAUUUCGUUUUUCCAGAAAAUGUCUCGGAGGUAAAAAUUAUGUAUGGGAAUGUAAUCGGAGUGUCUUGUCGAGUACGGAAAAUGUUCUUAAUCUUCGAAAACUGCUCCGCAUCAGGGAGACACCCUACGGCCUGGCAAAACUAUAAAACCUGGAGCAAUUUUUCUUUCGCGAAACAUAUUUAAAUCUUGGUCAAAUCCAAUCCCUGGUGAAAAAAAACCAAAAUGGCGGAAAAACAAGAUGGCCGCCAUACAAAAUUUUCGUUUUUCCUGAAAAUGCCUCGAGGGUGAAAAUGAUGUAUAGGAAUAUGAUCGGACCGUCAUGUCGAGUAUGAAAAUAUGUCUGGGUUUCCGAUAGCUGCUCCGCAUCAGGGAGACACCCUACGGCCUGGCAAAACUAUCGCACCUGGAACUUUUUGGUUUUCAUGAAACCUAUUUAAAUCUUGGUCAAAUUUUAUCGCCGAAGAAAAAAAAAUAAAAUGGCGGAAAAACAAGAUGGCCGCCAUACAAAUUUUUAGUUUUUCCUGAAAAUGCCUUGGGGGUUAAAAUGAUGUAUAAAGGUUUUUAUCGGAACGUCAUGUCGAGUAUAGAAAUACUUCUCGGUUUUCGAUUACUGCUCCGCAUCAGGGAGACACCCUACGGUCUGGGAAAACUAUCGCACCUGGAACGAUUCUUUUUUCACGAGGCCUAUUUAAAUCUUGGUCAAAUUUUAUCACCGGAGAAAAAAAAACAAAAUGGCCGAAAAACAAGAUGGCCGCCAUACAAAAAAAUGUUUUUCUAGAAAAUGUCUCGGGGAAAAUAACUGUGUAUAGGGUUGUAAUCGGAACGUCUUGUGGAGUAUGGAAAUACUUCUCGAUCUUUAAAAGCUGCUCCGCAUCAGGGCGGCACCCUACGGCCUGGCGAAACUAUCGCAUCUGGACCUUUUUUGUUUUUACAAAAACUAUUUAAAUCUUCGUCAAAUUUUACUGCCGGUGAAAAAAAAACAAAAUGGCGGAAAAACAAGAUGGCCGCCAUACAUAA
Long non-coding RNA from Pectinophora gossypiella (pink bollworm), 1138 nucleotides. RefSeq lists it as uncharacterized. The transcript has 2 exons. NCBI's taxonomy places the organism in Eukaryota, Metazoa, Arthropoda, Insecta, Lepidoptera, Gelechiidae. The record is from RefSeq and is a predicted model, not a curated record.